RNAcentral lists this transfer RNA (73 nucleotides) under Actinomycetes bacterium. Its description in RNAcentral is "tRNA-Thr". It matches the Rfam family "tRNA". From Rfam's summary of the family: Transfer RNA (tRNA) molecules are approximately 80 nucleotides in length. Their secondary structure includes four short double-helical elements and three loops (D, anti-codon, and T loops). The record is from RNAcentral. Lineage: Bacteria; Bacillati; Actinomycetota; Actinomycetes.
GCCGGAGUAGCUCAGUGGCCAGAGCGCGCGCCUUGUAAGCGCGGGGUCCCGGGUUCGAAUCCCGGCUCCGGCU